AAUUAACCGAUCAGACCUGCGAGAUUUCUUUUCACCAGUGAACAAUACAUUUACACACACAUCGAUAUCAACCAAUAUCAAAAAUCAAAUCGAUAAAACGAUUUCCCUCGAUCGACGAUACAUAUUUCACCGACAUCACGCUCCUUCCCAAAGAGGUUAAUUCCAAAAGCACUAAAUAUAUCUCUAUCUCCAUUCUCCAUUCUUCAUAGUAACAUUCUUCACUGGAAAAUAAUCGUCAAACAAGUGGAAUAAAUUGUAAAUUCUCUCUCUUCGACCAAAUCCAAAUCCUCUCAUCUAUCCUUCUGCCGAGAGAGUAGAGGCACAGUCAGUUACGUUAACCGUUAUGACCACCAUUGAUUCCGAUGUCACUGGCAUUUGGUAUAGCAGCGGCGCACGGUGCGCGCACGAGCGACGUGGUGGACGACUCAAAGAGGAAGGGUGCAUCCAAAGGACCGUCAGCUGCACGUUGAAGUCUGGCGCAGACGUAAUGCCACGCGUGUAUCCGGAGAACAGAAUGCACGUGGCGCAGUGUCGCGACUUUUGUGCCAUUACACGCUCUGCGUGAAAACGGAAGAAACACGCGUACUCCCCUCCCCUUCCCCUCUCUGCUUGCUCGCUCGGUCGAAAACCGCGGGAAAACGGAUAUGGAACGCGUCUCGAAUCGUGAAUGAAUAUAUAAAAUUUAAAAAAAGAGACUCGAAAAAUGGAAGUUGGUCUCGGGAUUGUGUAUCGAUUUUAAUACGAACGAGAGUCAGACGACAGUAAAGAAGAUAAAGGAGAAGGGAUACAAAUUUCUGUUCUGUAGAGUUAGGCGAAAGCCGACGGAGUCGCGUGUAAAUCAAAGUCGAGGCCAUUAAAUUCUAAAGUUACGAUAACACGUGAACUUUUUUCCUCGCCUAGCUGUGCAACGUAUCACCAUUGUUACCGAACAAGCGAGACAAUGGACAGAUAAUACGAGGCACGAAGAACGGGAAGAACAGAAGUGGAGAAAGAAGAGGAGGAGGAGGAGGAGAAGCGCAGAGUCUCUCCAGCAUCUCUUCUUAUAGAGAAUGGCCCGGGGCUGUCCAUCGGAUCGAACGUGUGAGAUAUGGCCGGCCACGAUUGUGUCGUGUCAACUUCUCAUAAAAAAACGACGAUUCACCCUGAAGAGAAAAUAUUCAAUCUUCAAACGCUCGAGUUGUGUCGAUCCGUUUUGCGUUCGAAUCGAAGAAUGAGAAAUACUUUUGUGAAGU
Apis dorsata (giant honeybee) is the source of this 1232-nucleotide RNA transcript. RefSeq lists it as uncharacterized. The record is from RefSeq and is a predicted model, not a curated record. Lineage: Eukaryota; Metazoa; Arthropoda; Insecta; Hymenoptera; Apidae. The transcript is spliced from 2 exons.